This 84-nucleotide transfer RNA is filed under the name Felis catus (domestic cat). It matches the Rfam family "tRNA". From Rfam's summary of the family: Transfer RNA (tRNA) molecules are approximately 80 nucleotides in length. Lineage: Eukaryota; Metazoa; Chordata; Mammalia; Carnivora; Felidae. RNAcentral also lists the same sequence under 2 other names. The record is from Rfam by way of RNAcentral.
AUCUGGGUGGCUCAGUAGUUAAGCGUCUGACUUCAGCUCAGGUCAGGAUCUCAUGGUUUGUGGGUUCGAGCCCCACAUCGGGUU